GAGAGCGAUAAAAGAGAGAGAGAGAGAGAGAGAGAGCGAGAGAGCGGGAGAGCCAGCACUUCGAUUAUAUUGAAGCCGCUAACACUACUUCCUUUACGAUUGCUACCAUAGCGAUCGUCGUAUGGAAACCUGGAGUCUCUUCUAUUUCACGACGCGACGCUACUUCCUCAGAAGGCAGCAGUGACAACUUUUGAUCAUGAAAUUCUAACGACGGAACACCAGUAAUUUCGUAGGAUCAACACCCACCUAUAUGAUAACCUGAUCGACUGUACACUCAUUAUCGAAUAUCACCAAUGACUCGACUAUAUCGUAAUGUGUUAUCAACUUCGCAUCUGUACUAAAAAAAAGUAG
This 351-nucleotide long non-coding RNA is filed under the name Octopus vulgaris (common octopus). Lineage: Eukaryota; Metazoa; Mollusca; Cephalopoda; Octopoda; Octopodidae. The record is from RNAcentral.